ACAGUUUGAAUGAAAGAGCGCUCAUAGAUGAACAAGUAGGAUGGGCUACCAAGACCUCCACUACUUGAAAAGUUUUGCGUACAACACUCGAAAAGGUAUUCAGACGCAGCUCUUCUCUCCGGAGACAAGAAGGUCGUCGCCGGCUGACACCAACCAGGUAUUUACACCCUCACUUGAUACUGUUUAAAAGUAGCGAAAAAGCAUACAUAGCAGCG
This is a non-coding RNA of Caenorhabditis elegans, 215 nucleotides long. NCBI's taxonomy places the organism in Eukaryota, Metazoa, Nematoda, Chromadorea, Rhabditida, Rhabditidae. The record is from Ensembl.